ACGUAGGGGGCGAGCGUUAUUCGGAAUUACUGGGUGUAAAGGGUAUGUAGGCGGCCCUUCAAGUCGCGUGUCAAAGUCCAGUGCUCAACGCUGGGUGUGCGCGCGAUACUGACGGGCUUGAGGGCUGGAGAGGUGAGCGGAAUUCCCGGUGUAGCGGUAAAAUGCGUAGAGAUCGGGAGUAACACCAGCAGCGAAGGCGGCUCACUAGAAAGAUUCUGACGCUAAUAUGCGAAAGCGUGGUGAGCAAACAG
This 251-nucleotide ribosomal RNA is filed under the name uncultured prokaryote. RNAcentral describes it as "partial 16S rRNA". It matches the Rfam family "Bacterial small subunit ribosomal RNA", at positions 525 to 775 of the family's 1533-position model. The record is from RNAcentral.